RNAcentral lists this ribosomal RNA (459 nucleotides) under uncultured bacterium. Its description in RNAcentral is "partial 16S ribosomal RNA". It matches the Rfam family "Bacterial small subunit ribosomal RNA", at positions 338 to 795 of the family's 1533-position model. The record is from RNAcentral.
CCUACGGGAGGCAGCAGUGAGGAAUAUUGGUCAAUGGUCGGGAGCCUGAACCAGCCAAGCCGCGUGAGGGAGGAAGGUACAGAGUAUCGUAAACCUCUUUUGUCAGGGAACAAAGACUGGGACGCGUCCCCGGAUGAGUGUACCUGAAGAAAAAGCAUCGGCUAACUCCGUGCCAGCAGCCGCGGUAAUACGGAGGAUGCGGGCGUUAUCCGGAUUUCUGGGGGUUAAAGGGUGCGCAGGCGGUCUGUUAAGUCAGCGGUCAAAGCCCGGGGCUCAACCCCGGCCCGCCGUUGAAACUGGCAGGCUCGAGUUGGAGAGAAGUAUGCGGAAUGCGCGGUGUAGCGGUGAAAUGCAUAGAGAUCGCGCAGAACUCCGAUGGAGAAGGCAGCAUGCCGGCUCCACACUGACGCUGAGGCACGAAAGCGUGGGUAUCGAACAGGAUUAGAUACCCGAGUAGUC